This 518-nucleotide long non-coding RNA is filed under the name Equus caballus (horse). Its description in RNAcentral is "lncRNA (ENSECAG00000059154.1)". The record is from RNAcentral. Lineage: Eukaryota; Metazoa; Chordata; Mammalia; Perissodactyla; Equidae.
CUUUUCUAAAAGCUAAAUAAGUCUCUCAACAGUUUUAUGACCCAACAAUGUCUUUCUCAAGGACCUGGAACCAGCUCUUGUAAACAUAAGCCUCACCAAGAUGGCGCCCCGUCCUGUUUGCACAGGAGGGGAGAGGCUCGCCUCUGGGGCGCCUGCCUCCGAAACUCCCUCCCGGUGUAAAGAUGCAGGAGAUUUAUUCUUCCUUUGGAUAAAGCUGUCCAGCGGAGACACAUGGACACGUCAGCUACCGGUUGCCGUUGGGUGAUGAGUAAAGCUGUAUUAAAACAGCCUGGGCACAGCUGCUAGAACCACCGAGUCAUGGAGAAUGAGAAGAGCUGACCUGCGUGCGCUGAGGACUCCACCCAGCCAGGAGAUGGAGAUUGGGAAGUGUGUGAGGUAUUGAUGCCACGGUUAGAGAGUUCAAUACAUUGAACAGAAGCAGAGAGAUUAAAUUUUUCAAGUAACAGCAGAAAACAACCCUGACCACACAGCCAUACUGAUUUGGUGGCCACAGAAAG